Molecule: long non-coding RNA, 1147 nt
Filed under: Citrus x clementina
Lineage: Eukaryota; Viridiplantae; Streptophyta; Magnoliopsida; Sapindales; Rutaceae
Description: Citrus clementina (C. clementina) long non-coding RNA (CCLE_LNC001869)
Source: RNAcentral
AUAGGGUGAUGUUUUGAAGAAGCAACGGUUGCAAAGAGAAGGUGGGCUAAAAAUUUGUCCCAAAAAUAGGGAGCACAUCUCUUUAAGGGAACCACAUCUAAUCACGGCUCUACCUCUGAAAUGAUCAGCAUCUCUUAACUCUUUAUAUCUCCAGCUUCGAAAUGAAAAACAUUGGUGAUUAACUUUCAUAACUUUAAGCUAUUAGCCGAAUGGUUUUCACUUUUUAUCGGGGUGCAACUUGUUUUAACCUGUUAUUCGAAUUCGAAUCUUCAAAAGUAGGGACUAAAAAGAACUUAAAUAAAAUUUCUCUAAACUAAAUUUAGAACACAAGUUUAUCUCCAUUUAAACUAAUUAAGACAGAUGUUGACAGAUUUCUAAAAUAAUGUCAAUAUAUCAUGAUGUAAUGUUUUUUAAUUGAAAAAGAAUACAAAAAACUUUGAAAGAGUUCUUAACAAGAAUUCAAGUGCUAUCAUUUAGUGGCACUGCGAAUUCAUAAUUACAUAUUCGGCAUAAUUAUUUAUGGUCAUCUCAUAAUUAAGAAUUAAUUAAUAAUUAAAUUGUGUUUAGGGUCAAAAAUAUGUAAUAAAUAAAUGAAAAGAAAGAUUUGACUUAAGAAGCUCUAUCAACUGUCAGGAACUGUUGACUAACCGCUCUGCCACCGGCCAUCGCAAAUGUGGGUCAUGGAAUCUAAUUAACUUUUUCUCUCUUUUAUAUUGUUGGAGUCGAUUAUUCUAUUCAUGGGUAUUAACAAUAUAUUGUUUUGGAAUAAAAUUUCAAUAUAAACUUAUAAUCAGAAAUUUGUUGAGACUGAUCAAUAUUAUUUUAUUGUAACAUUAUCCAUAUUAUUAGUUCUACACUAAAAAAGAAAUCUCUCCCCAUUUUUAAAGAGAAAAUGAUCUAGAGAGCAAUUGAAUCAAAUUUGUAUGGACUCGAACUUACUCCCUUAUUUAUCCUUGAGGGAGGAGUCACAACAUGCAUAUGUAAUAUUAAAAUUAUGGGGAGAUAGUCAAUUUCCCCUACUGUAAUUAAUAUAUAUCAUUUACCCUUUUGUUAUUGUCAAAUACACUUUUAGUUUAGUUUACAAUAACUCAUCUGACAACAUUAGUUUACAAUACUAUUCAUAUUGUCAAAUACACUUUUAUUUAUA